CCUACGGGAGGCAGCAGUGGGGAAUUUUCCGCAAUGGGCGAAAGCCUGACGGAGCAAUACCGCGUGAGGGAGGAAGGCUCUUGGGUUGUAAACCUCUCUUUUCAGGGAAGAUAAUGACGGUACCUGAGGAAUAAGCAUCGGCUAACUCCGUGCCAGCAGCCGCGGUAAUACGGAGGAUGCAAGCGUUAUCCGGAAUGAUUGGGCGUAAAGCGUCCGCAGGUGGUUUUAAAAGUCUGUUGUUAAAGCGUGAGGCUUAACCUCAUAAGGGCAAUGGAAACUGUAAGACUAGAGUACGUUCGGGGCAAGGGGAAUUCCCAGUGUAGCGGUGAAAUGCGUAGAGAUUGGGAAGAACACCGGUGGCGAAAGCGCCUUGCUAGGCCGUAACUGACACUGAGGGACGAAAGCUAGGGGAGCGAAUGGGAUUAGAUACCCCAGUAGUCCUAGCCGUAAACGAUGGAUACUAGGCGUUGUCUGUAUCGACCCGGACAGUGCCGUAGCUAACGCGUUAAGUAUCCCGCCUGGGGAGUACGCACGCAGUGUGAACGUACAAGAAGUAGACGGCGUGAGACGUGCCGAACGGACGACGACGAGGGAGAGG
This 598-nucleotide ribosomal RNA is filed under the name uncultured bacterium. RNAcentral describes it as "bacterial SSU rRNA". It matches the Rfam family "Bacterial small subunit ribosomal RNA", at positions 338 to 950 of the family's 1533-position model. The record is from RNAcentral.